UACCAGCACCCCGAGUGGUCGGGACGAUUAUUGGGCCUAAAGCGUCCGUAGCCGGUUUUACAAGUCCUCCGUUAAAUCCACCUGCUUAACAGAUGGGCUGCGGAGGAUACUAUAGAGCUAGGAGGCGGGAGAGGCAAGCGGUACUUAGUGGGUAGGGGUAAAAUCCGUUGAUCCAUUGAAGACCACCAGUGGCGAAGGCGGCUUGCCAGAACGCACUCGACGGUGAGGGAUGAAAGCUGGGGGAGCAAACCGG
This 253-nucleotide ribosomal RNA is filed under the name uncultured bacterium. RNAcentral describes it as "partial 16S ribosomal RNA". It matches the Rfam family "Archaeal small subunit ribosomal RNA", at positions 474 to 727 of the family's 1478-position model. The record is from RNAcentral.